This 352-nucleotide unclassified non-coding RNA is filed under the name soil metagenome. Its description in RNAcentral is "partial contains 5.8S ribosomal RNA, internal transcribed spacer 2, and large subunit ribosomal RNA". The stretch from base 1 to 120 matches the Rfam family "5.8S ribosomal RNA", at positions 35 to 154 of the family's 154-position model. The record is from RNAcentral.
GAUGAAGAACGCAGCGAAACGCGAUAAGUAAUGUGAAUUGCAGAAUCCAGUGAAUCAUCGAAUCUUUGAACGCACAUUGCGCCCGCCAGUAUUCUGGCGGGCAUGCCUGUUCGAGCGUCAUUACAACCCUCAGGCCCCCGGGCCUGGCGUUGGGGAUCGGCGGAGCCCCCCGUGGGCACACGCCGUCCCCCAAAUACAGUGGCGGUCCCGCCGCAGCUUCCAUCGCGUAGUAGCUAACACCUCGCGACUGGAGAGCGGCGCGGCCACGCCGUAAAACACCCAACUCUUCUGAAGUUGACCUCGAAUCAGGUAGGACUACCCGCUGAACUUAAGCAUAUCAAUAAGCGGAGGA